CAGUAGCCGCGGUAAUACGUAGGGUGCAAGCGUUAAUCGGAAUUACUGGGCGUAAAGCGUACGCAGGCGGUUAUAUAAGACAGAUGUGAAAUCCCCGGGCUCAACCUGGGAACUGCAUUUGUGACUGUAUAGCUAGAGUACGGCAGAGGGGGAUGGAAUUCCGCGUGUAGCAGUGAAAUGCGUAGAUAUGCGGAGGAACACCGAUGGCGAAGGCAAUCCCCUGGGCCUGUACUGACGCUCAUGCACGAAAGCGUGGGGAGCAAACAGGAUUAGAUACCCCCGUAGUCCCUGUCUCUUAUAC
Molecule: ribosomal RNA, 301 nt
Filed under: uncultured bacterium
Lineage: Bacteria
Description: partial 16S ribosomal RNA
Rfam family: Bacterial small subunit ribosomal RNA
Source: RNAcentral